RNAcentral lists this ribosomal RNA (400 nucleotides) under phytoplankton environmental sample. RNAcentral's name for it is "partial small subunit ribosomal RNA". It matches the Rfam family "Eukaryotic small subunit ribosomal RNA", at positions 587 to 982 of the family's 1831-position model. The record is from RNAcentral.
AGCUCCAAUAGCGUAUAUUAACUUUGUUGCAGUUAAAAGGCUCGUAGUCGAAUUUAUGGCUGCAUUGCGUAGGCCAUCCGUCAAGAACGGUAUGUGCUAGCGUCAAUGCGUCAUCCUUCUGGAGAGCACUUCUGCCCUUGAUUGGGUUGGUUGUUGUAAUCCAGAUCAUUUACUGUGAGUAAAUCAAAGUGUUCAAAGCAGGCUUGUGAAGCUUGUAUGGUGUAGCAUGGAAUAAUAAGAUAGGACUUGGGUUCUAUUUUGUUGGCUUUCAGAACCAAAGUAAUGAUCGAUAGGGAUAGUUGGGGGUGCUAGUAUUUAACGGUCAGCGGUGAAAUGCGUAGACCCGUUAAAGACUAACUUAUGCGAAAGCAUUCACCAAGGAUAUCUUCUUUGAUCAAGA